AUACCGGCGGCUCGAGUGGUGGCCGCUUUUAUUGGGCUUAAAGCGUUCGUAGCUGGGUCGUUAAGUCUCUUGGGAAAUCCGGCAGCUCAACUGUCGGGCGUCUAAGAGAUACUGGCGAUCUUGGAACCGGGAGAGGUGAGGGGUACUCCCAGGGUAGGGGUGAAAUCCUAUAAUCCUGGGAGGACCACCUGUGGCGAAGGCGCCUAACUGGAACGGACCUGACGGUGAGUAACGAAAGCCAGGGGCGC
This 248-nucleotide ribosomal RNA is filed under the name uncultured bacterium. Its description in RNAcentral is "partial 16S ribosomal RNA". It matches the Rfam family "Archaeal small subunit ribosomal RNA", at positions 473 to 720 of the family's 1478-position model. The record is from RNAcentral.